CUGAAACUCACAUUCUUGUGCUCUGACCCAGACAUUUCUAACUCCCCUGGGCUACACAAAGUCUGAAGCACUGUGCACAACGUAGAGAGCAGAAUUGGUGUGGCUUUCUUUACAAAUGGUGCAGCAUUGGAUUUUUCAAUUCCAGACAGAGAAGGAUAUGAAGAGGAAGGGAGAGAGGAGCGAUACUACAGUACCAUUCAUGAAACUUCUGGUUCUGUGGCUUGACUUCAGGAUUUUUUACAGGGCAAAGUGUACAAAGCCACCAGGUUCCAGAUGCUAGCAUGAUGCCAACCAUACUUUCCUGGACUGACGACCCCACCAAUGACCUCACCUGGAGCUCCAAUUCCCAGAAAUCCACCCCACUAGGGAAAGAGAGAGGCAGGCUGGGAGUAUGGAUAGACCUAUCAAUGUCCAUGUUCAGCGGGGAAGCAAUCACAGAAGCCGGACCUUCCACCUUCUGCAUCCCACAAUGACCUUGGGUCCAUACUCCCAGAGGGCUAAAGAAUGGGAAAGCUAUCAGGGGAGGGGAUGGGAUAUGAAGUUCUGGUGGUGGGAAUUGUUUGGAGUUGUACCCCUCUUAUCCUGUGGUUUUGUCAGUGUUUCCUUUUUAUAAAUGAAUAAUAAUAAAAAAACUAUUGAAGUUA
Erinaceus europaeus (western European hedgehog) is the source of this 644-nucleotide long non-coding RNA. RefSeq lists it as uncharacterized. The transcript has 3 exons. NCBI's taxonomy places the organism in Eukaryota, Metazoa, Chordata, Mammalia, Eulipotyphla, Erinaceidae. The record is from RefSeq and is a predicted model, not a curated record.